RNAcentral lists this long non-coding RNA (522 nucleotides) under Numida meleagris (helmeted guineafowl). RNAcentral's name for it is "lncRNA (ENSNMEG00000000902.1)". Lineage: Eukaryota; Metazoa; Chordata; Aves; Galliformes; Numididae. The record is from RNAcentral.
UGUUACUGAAAAAAGAACAACACAAAAAGCCGUUUAAAACAGACAGUAAUUAAAACUAUAUUAUGGCCUUCCAAAAACAAAUUCUCAUAAAGGCAUGCAGUCUCCUCAUGUUUUACUUGCUUCUCUUUUACACUCUCUUAUCUAGGAAAAACAGUGGAGUUAUAUUAUUUUCCAGAGAAAAGUCACUGUCACGGGAAUGGUUCAGUACACUAGCAGAAAAUCUCAGUGAAAAAACACCAAACUUGGUUACAAUUUAAGCAAGAAAUACUGAAGAAUGUGGCUGCGCUGAGAAUUUCCUGACCUUCAGAUUAUUGCUAGAAUGUGUGCAUGAGGACAUGAGUCUGUACCAAAUUUAUCUUCUCAAACAAUGGAAAAGAUGGCUGUUUAUGUCUUAAUUCACAUAUUGCUCUGAUGGGGUAAAAGACUGCAGAAAGUGUUGUAUCUCAAAAAUGCAUUAUAAAAGUUAAACUACUUUUUAUUGUCUUAAAAUAAGAAUAUGAAACACAGUCAAAUAAAGAAAAC